UACAGAGGGGGCAAGCGUUGUUCGGAAUUACUGGGCGUAAAGGGCGCGUAGGCGGCCUGCUAAGUCGAACGUGAAAUCCCUGGGCUCAACCCAGGAACUGCGUCCGAUACUGGUUGGCUUGAAUCCGGGAGAGGGAUGUGGAAUUCCAGGUGUAGCGGUGAAAUGCGUAGAUAUCUGGAGGAACACCGGUGGCGAAGGCGGAUCUCUGGGCCAUUACUGACGCUGAGGAGCGAAAGCGUGGGGAGCGAACAGG
This 253-nucleotide ribosomal RNA is filed under the name uncultured bacterium. RNAcentral describes it as "partial 16S ribosomal RNA". It matches the Rfam family "Bacterial small subunit ribosomal RNA", at positions 524 to 776 of the family's 1533-position model. The record is from RNAcentral.